AUGGACUCGACAAGGGCAAGCUUCUCGCAGAUGUGGCAUGAGCAGGGAAUCCAGUUAAUGGUAAUCAUCAGCUUAAUGCUACAGCUCAUCCUGCUAUUCACUGGUAACCACCGGUGGCGCAGAAUCAGGUGGCGCAAAAUCAGUGGGUUCAUGAGGUUCAUAGUGUGGCUGGUUUACGUGGGGGCGGACGCUAUUGCCGUCUUCACCAUUGGCCUCUUCUCCCAAUACGAGGAAAAAUACAAACUGAGAAGCCACGACUCUUCUGCGCACGAUCGCAUGCUGCCUUUCCUCUGGGCACCCUUUCUCCUUCUUCAUCUGGGCGGCCAGGACACCAUCACUGCGUUUUCCAUUGAGGACAACAACCUAUGGCUGAGGCACUUGUUGAACCUCCUGAUCCAGGUCUCUCUGGCCAUGUAUGUCUUCUGGAAGUCGUUGGACAUACUCAACUCACACCUGCUAGCCGUUGCGGUGCCCAUAUUUGUUGCUGGAAUAAUCAAAUAUGGCGAGAGGACAUGGGCUCUACAGAGAGGGAGCCGAGAUAGCCUCGGAAGUCGCAAGGUGGAGGAAGAGGAAUCACAAGAUGAAAGUGUUGCUGGUGAUGUCGUGGCAGCUUAUGCUCUUAAAUCGGUACUUCAAGGCAGAGGGCUGCUUGCGGGACGGACAAUGUUCCAGCUGGGAGAUGGGGUCAAGGGGCAUCUGGUGGAUAAUUUUGCAGACAUGGGCCAAAGAGAAGGGAAGCUCAAGGUCGUAACGAUGGAGCUUCGUAUGAUUUAUGAUAUCCUGUACACAAAGGCUAUGGUGCUGCAAAGCUGGACGGGCCGGGUGCUCCGGUGCGGCGCCUUGAUCGCCAUGCUAGUCGCCUUUGUGCUCUUCUCGAUGAAUCAGGAACUACAAGGCCACAACAAAGCCAACGUUACCAUCACCUAUGCAUUGUUUGUCGGGAGUAUCUUCAUGGAAUUUUAUUCAGCCUCCAUGGUGAUAGUGUCGCCAUGGACAAGGGCAUGCUCGAAAGAGGGCAGCUUUCUCUGUUGGCUGGGCCGCGCUGCUUCCCGAAAAGGUUUGGCAUGUCCGUCCAUGGGGCAAUUUAACCUUACAGACUACUCCUUGUACGAGAAAUCUGUGCCAAGAUUUUCCAAGGUCAUCGCCGCAUUGGGUCUAGAGAAGCAAUGGAGAAACUUAUGGCACAUCAAGCACGUCGAAGACAAGGAGAUCAUGGAGUAUAUUGUGGGAUUUUUUGACGACACAGAUUCUGGGCAGAGAUACCAGCGCCUAGAGCUUGGCCGGAAAUUGAACUACUUGCUAAGUCUUCCCUUCGAGCAUGCCCUUUUUCGCCUGCAUAUAUUCACAGACAUGCACAUAAGCAGACACUUGCAGCUGGGAGGUGAUGCAAGUCAUUCGGCCCUGCUUGUGGCAGAGUGCAGAAAGAUAUCAGACUACCUCAUGUACCUUAUGGUGGUUCACCCUUCCAUGCUACCAGUCAGCACGGCUGCCCAAGACCUUGAACCCUGCUUCGCCGAAUGGAUCAGGCACAACCACAGUGACAACAUGACCAAGAGAGAGAUUCUGGAGGCAUAUGCAAAUCAAAGGCUCUACAAUGAGAGGUUCUCAUCAUGUCCCUUUGAAGAAUUUCCUUCCAUGCAUUCGUUGAGUGAGUUAAAGGAGGUAUUGGUGAGGGUGCUCAUAUACGCUGCUGGUAAGUGCCCCAUGGAACUACAUGCGCGCAAGCUCAGCGACGGAGUGGAGCCUCUCACCGUGGUUGCGUCAAUCAUGAUGCAUCACGGUCUAGGGGAUGUGGGAAGGGAGUUCAAGCUGUUGGCAUCUGAUGAUCCUCAUGUGCCCACACCAGGGUCGCUGGUGUCAGUGGAUCAGAGCAGCUGGAUCCGGCGGCCACAAGGGCCUCUCUACGCGUUUGAAUUCUACCAGCAUGCGUAUGAAUAUGAUCAUCAGACGUGGUCGCUUCUGCAGCCUUCGCAAGAAUACCCACGCUUAUUUGUUAGGGCUUGGGCACCGCGAGACAUGGUGUAUCAGUCAUGGAUGUCACGAUGGGAGGGAGGGCAAGCUGGGUGGUCAACAUCCGAGAGAGAACAAACUGAUUGGUCCUCAUCAGAUAUCCAGCAGCAUGUGGUCAACAUGAACGGACUCAACCUACCACUACCACUGCACACACAGCCUGGACAAUUUCCGUCGCUGCCGAAUGCCUCCCCUGAUACUGAUGUGGGAUCGGAGGUGUAUUGGUCGUCAUCGGAGACAUGGCAAGCUAAUCAGUCACCGGAGACGGAUAUGCACCGAAUUGAUAUACCAACUGACCCACAAAUCCAACAAAUUGCAUCGGGAACGAAUACCUCACCUGAAACUGAUUUGGCAUUGGAGGUGUAUCUGUCAUCACCAGAGAUUGAGCAAAUUUAUUCGUCAUCAGAGAUCCACCAACUUGACGUACCGAUGCCCCCACAGUCCCAACAAUUUGCAAUACAACAGAAUCUUGAAACUGUUGUGGCACCAGAAACAGAGCAAAAGCAAGUAGAUGGAGCACUGGAGAUUGAGCUUGCUGAUGUAGCGUCGGAGAUAGAGCAAGCUGGUGGGGUACUGGAGAUAGAGCAGAAGGACAAUGUGGGAAGUAGCACAAACUGA
This 2628-nucleotide ribosomal RNA is filed under the name Triticum aestivum (bread wheat). RNAcentral's name for it is "partial small subunit ribosomal RNA". The record is from RNAcentral. Lineage: Eukaryota; Viridiplantae; Streptophyta; Magnoliopsida; Poales; Poaceae.